This 497-nucleotide ribosomal RNA is filed under the name uncultured bacterium. RNAcentral's name for it is "partial 16S ribosomal RNA". It matches the Rfam family "Bacterial small subunit ribosomal RNA", at positions 28 to 507 of the family's 1533-position model. The record is from RNAcentral.
GAUGAACGCUGGCGGCGUGCCUAAUACAUGCAAGUCGAGCGAACAGACGAGGAGCUUGCUCCUCUGACGUUAGCGGCGGACGGGUGAGUAACACGUGGAUAACCUACCUAUAAGACUGGGAUGACUUCGGGAAACCGGAGCUAAUACCGGAUAAUAUAUUGAACCGCAUGGUUCAAUAGUGAAAGACGGUUUUGCUGUCACUUAUAGAUGGAUCCGCGCCGCAUUAGCUAGUUGGUAAGGUAACGGCUUACCAAGGCGACGAUGCGUAGCCGACCUGAGAGGGUGAUCAGCCACACUGGAACUGAGACACGGUCCAGACUCCUACGGGAGGCAGCAGUAGGGAAUCUUCCGCAAUGGGCGAAAGCUUGACGGAGCAACGCCGCGUGAGUGAUGAAGGUCUUCGGAUCGUAAAACUCUGUUAUUAGGGAAGAACAAAUGUGUAAGUAACUAUGCACGUCUUGACGGUACCUAAUCAGAAAGCCACGGCUAACUACGUG